Molecule: ribosomal RNA, 399 nt
Filed under: uncultured Curvibacter sp.
Lineage: Bacteria; Pseudomonadati; Pseudomonadota; Betaproteobacteria; Burkholderiales; Comamonadaceae
Description: bacterial SSU rRNA
Rfam family: Bacterial small subunit ribosomal RNA
Source: RNAcentral
AGCUGAGUUUGAUCCUGGCUCAGAUUGAACGCUGGCGGCAUGCCUUACACAUGCAAGUCGAACGGCAGCACGGGAGCAAUCCUGGUGCGAGUGGCGGAACGGGUGAGUAAUAUAUCGGAACGUGCCCAGUCUGGGGGAUAACGUAGCGAAAGCUACGCUAAUACCGCAUACGAUCUAUGGAUGAAAGCGGGGGAUCGCAAGACCUCGCGCGAUUGGAGCGGCCGAUAUCAGAUUAGGUAGUUGGUGAGGUAAAGGCUCACCAAGCCGACGAUCUGUAGCUGGUCUGAGAGGACGACCAGCCACACUGGGACUGAGACACGGCCCAGACUCCGUACGGGGGCAGCAGUGGGGGAAUUUUGGACAAUGGCGCAAGCCUGAUCCAGCAAUGCCGCGUGCAGG